Molecule: ribosomal RNA, 253 nt
Filed under: uncultured bacterium
Lineage: Bacteria
Description: partial 16S ribosomal RNA
Rfam family: Bacterial small subunit ribosomal RNA
Source: RNAcentral
UACGUAGGGUGCAAGCGUUGUCCGGAAUUAUUGGGCGUAAAGAGCUCGUAGGCGGUCUGUCGCGUCUGCUGUGAAAACUCGGGGCUUAACCCCGGGCCUGCAGUGGGUACGGGCAGACUAGAGUGCGGUAGGGGAGACUGGAAUUCCUGGUGUAGCGGUGAAAUGCGCAGAUAUCAGGAGGAACACCGGUGGCGAAGGCGGCCCACUGGUCCGGUACUGACGCUGAGGUGCGAAAGCGUGGGGAGCAAACAGG